This 2320-nucleotide unclassified non-coding RNA is filed under the name Daphnia magna. RNAcentral's name for it is "uncharacterized LOC116923043, transcript variant X1". The record is from RNAcentral. Lineage: Eukaryota; Metazoa; Arthropoda; Branchiopoda; Diplostraca; Daphniidae.
GCUAACAUCAAAAUGUGCUAUUUCCCCCCGGCUGCCGGGGGGCGCUAAAGUCAAAAUCGUCUAUUGACCACCGGCUGACAGGGACACGGUGUAAUCCCACGGAGCUUACAGGAUGCCUAGGCGUGCUGGAUACGAUACAACUGGUCUUACCUUCUUGAUUGACGUUGAAACUUUGCGACUGUCUUGUGUGAAAAUGCGCUAUUGUGCUUUACCAGCCGAUAUAGCGACAGAGUGCAACGAGCCAACGUCACAUUUUCCUAUGUUUACGUGUCUUAAUUACGGAUGCGAAGGAACUCUCGUUUUGCCAAAGGUAAGUAGCUACCGGUAGAUGAGGUUUGACUUGGAAACUAGUUCGUCCGGUUUGUACGUGGCACUCGUGAUGAAUCAUUUCAAUUGUAAAUAAUAGUGUUAUUUUUUCUUGGGAACAAAGACAACCGAAUACAUCUCGCCCUGGAGACAGAUGGAAGUCUAUAAAACGAGGAGUUGGAAAAUCUUAAUCGAGAAACAUAGCUGCUGAAGUCCGUAAUGGAUAUGGUUCAUGCCAUUCGACUGGUCUUCAUAAAUCGGUGGAUUUGGUCAUAAGCGACUUCAUAACAAGAAAACACGAGGUAAUGAUAUCAUGUCUUUAACAUUUGAAAAUCAGUGGAUUACCUUAGGGGAAGAUGUUUUGUCAUUUUCCAGAUCGGAGGAAUCAAAGGGUGGACAGACCCAGUCGUCGCAAUCGAAUUCGUCUGGUUUGCCCUUUCUGCGUUUCAACGUAAAUUGUGACUUCUUAAUUAUCUGUUAAAGAUAGAAAAAAUAUACAUACGUACAUCGUAAAUAGAAUCAUGUGAAUAACAACGUUAAACAAUAAAACAAACUUUGAUUUUGGCGACAGGAGUUAAAGGUGGAUACGAAGAUGAGGUUUCCAUUUCACGUUUAGCAUGCACCACUUCCCGGCCCACCAACUGAUUGAAAUGUGUAGCCAAAUGUCGACGCAGCAGCGUCUUACCCUGAGGAAUUGACAGCAAAGUGGCCAGCAGCUCGGCAUUGAAGCGAGCCUCGUGCACCAGCAAACCACCAUGCACACCUUUAUUGCGAAAACGACCGCAAUCAUUAAACAUUCCAGUUUAUCAGAAGCUAUGCAAAAAAUAUCUAACUCGUACCAGAUCCUCUCAUAUUUGGUGCAUAUUCGGAUAAGUCAACAGCUCUGAGCCAUUCCAUCACGCGAUGGUUAGUCCAGACGGCGACUUGACCGGGAGUUGGAUGUGCCGGCUCCUCGGGGACGGAACGCCGUUGCAAACAGCUCGCAUUGUAAUCAUUUAAGCGCAAAACUUGAAUUCCACGUCGGAUGCAAAUGAGAUGAAGUAGAUUCGUCACUUUGAGGUGGGUACACAAAUCAUCGACUGUCAGUAAAUGGAGCAUUCGGCCAUCCAGCCUAGACUCUAGGAAAGCAUCUUUGUAUUGCGGUAGGCCGAUGUCAUCAAGCCAACGAACGGCCCAUUGAUGAUCUAGUUUUCCGGCGUUCUUUAAUAAAUCUGUUGAAGGAAAACGAUGUGAUGGAUAAACGAUUCACAACUGUUGAAUAAGUACAAACCUGGUAGGAUUGGUGCAAGCGACAUGGGAUCCUGAGCUCGGCCUUUAGCCUCUAGUGCUAGGAUCAAUUUCUUUUUGUGCAGUGGAUGCUUGACGGAAAGUUCCUUUUCUAUCUCGGCCACCUGAGCUUCUAGUAACUGCUGACCCCUACAAUUCCAGCGUUGAACUUCGCUGACGUACAAGUGUAAUCCCAUAUCGUGAAGCCACGAUGCGAUAUCGUCGCUCGACCAUUGUGCGAAGGGAAGUUCAGAUCUAGAUCAAUCAUUUGCUUUUUUAUGAAACAUUUCGAUAACAAAGAUAUUCAAAAAAAUAUAUAUAUACUCCUGGAUAGGUUUGAUUGUUUCUGCUGGGCCUGGAGACCCAUUUUUCCAACCUAAACGGGGCCCUGCUGUAGCGCGAAGAGUGCCACCACGGCGGAAGUCUUCGGCUGAAAGCGGUGUCGAUGGAUCACCCUCUAGAGCACCAGAAUUGGCUCGUUUCAAUCUUGAUAAAAGACACGAUCGUCAUUAUGUCAAACAAAUUCUGGGCGCAUAAAUUAUUACUUAUCGAAUAUCUUCUUCAGACUUCCACGCGGUUGCUUCGAGAAACUGUUGAGCGAUGGUGAAUGGGGUGAUGUCGGGCUAUUGAAAGAUGACUCAGUCAUCACAUCAUCUCGUUCUAACGUGCUGGCGGCUUCAUCCUGAAGGCGUUUCUGCUCCGUUUCAGCUAUUUAGUUCACCACAACAACAACAACAACAGAAAAAGA